AUCAUUAUUGGUUAUUGUACUUUUAUUGAUUUAAUUGUUUUGUGCUAUAGAUUAUUUGUACCGUGAGGGGUUCGAUUGUUUUAAUGUUUUUUUAGAAGUUGAUUUUGUUUGUUGUACCUUGUGUAUCAGGGUUCAUUGAAUUUUAUUAUUUAUUUUUUAUUUCCCGAUUUUGAAGGAGUUAAUGGUUUAUGUUAGUUACUGUUUCAUUAGUAUUAAUAAUAUUCUGUUGGUAGUGAAAUGUUAUUCGUCUUUGGUGGUCUCUGGUUUUUCAAGAAAUGAAUUUAAUUCAUGCGCCUUAUUUAAUUUUUGUUGUUCUUUUAAAUGGUUUUAUUAGGUGUUAAGAUUAAGGGGGAUUAGCUCCUUAUUCUAUUCUUAUAAUUUUUUAUUUUAUUUAGUUUUGUGGAUUUUAUAUUGAUUUUCAAUUUGAUUAUGUUAAAAUUUUAUUUUGUUUAUUUGUUUAUUUGUUUUAUGUUUAAGUUCUUUAUUGAAAUGUUUUUUUUGCUGUUGUUAUGAAUGGUAAUUAUUAUGUAAUUAGUAAAUCUUUUUUAUUAUUUCGUUGAGUUUUUGGUGUUAAAUUCUUCUGAGGAAUUAGGCAAAAGUUUUCAUGUCCGCCUGUUUAUCAAAAACAUCUUUUCUCGUUAGUUUUUGAAGUAUGGCCUGCCCACUGACGUUUAUUUUAGUUGAAGGGCCGCGGUAUUUUGACCGUGCAAAGGUAGCAUAAUCAUUAGUUCUUUAAUUGUGAUCUGGUAUGAAUGGCUUGACGAGACAUGAGCUGUCUUAGGUUGAUGGAAUCGGUUUUGUUGAAUUUGGUUUUUGAGUUAAAAUUCUUAAAUGUUUUUAUGGGACGAGAAGACCCUAUAGAGUUUGACAUUUAUCUUAUUCUUAAUUAAUUUGUUUGUUUUGUUAGUUGAUUAUUUUAAUGUGUUUUGUUGGGGUGAUGGGAGGAAGAUUUAUUAACUCCUCUUUAUUUUUAUAUAUUUAUGUAUAUUUAUUUGAUCCAUUUUUUGUGAUUAUAAGAUUAAAUUACCUUAGGGAUAACAGCGUUAUCUCCCUUGAGAGUUCUUAUUGGCGGGGAGGUUUGCGACCUCGAUGUUGGAUUAAGAUGAAUUUCCGGUGUAGGAGCUGGAAAAUUGAUUGGGUCUGUUCGACCUUUAAAAUCUUACAUGAUCUGAGUUCAGACCGGCGUGAGCCAGGUUGGUUUCUAUCUAUAGUAGUUUUUUAUACCUUAGUACGAGAGGACCGGGUAUUUGGAAUAAUUUUGUUUUAUCUUCGAUU
RNAcentral lists this ribosomal RNA (1275 nucleotides) under Apicotermes occultus. Its description in RNAcentral is "16S ribosomal RNA". The stretch from base 839 to 1210 matches the Rfam family "Bacterial large subunit ribosomal RNA", at positions 2074 to 2646 of the family's 2925-position model. The record is from RNAcentral. Lineage: Eukaryota; Metazoa; Arthropoda; Insecta; Blattodea; Termitidae.